AUGAUGCCCAGCUUGCUGGGUGGAUUAGUGGCGAACGGGUGAGUAAUACGUGAGUAACCUGCCCUUGACUCUGGGAUAAGCCUGGGAAACUGGGUCUAAUACUGGAUACUACUUCCUGCCGCAUGGUGGGUGGUGGAAAGGGUUUUACUGGUUUUGGAUGGGCUCACGGCCUAUCAGCUUGUUGGUGGGGUAAUGGCUCACCAAGGCGACGACGGGUAGCCGGCCUGAGAGGGUGACCGGCCACACUGGGACUGAGACACGGCCCAGACUCCUACGGGAGGCAGCAGUGGGGAAUAUUGCACAAUGGGCGGAAGCCUGAUGCAGCGACGCCGCGUGAGGGAUGACGGCCUUCGGGUUGUAAACCUCUUUCAGUAGGGAAGAAGCGAGAGUGACGGUACCUGCAGAAGAAGCGCCGGCUAACUACGUGCCAGCAGCCGCGGUAAUACGUAGGGCGCAAGCGUUGUCCGGAAUUAUUGGGCGUAAAGAGCUCGUAGGCGGUUUGUCGCGUCUGCUGUGAAAGCCCGGGGCUCAACCCCGGGUCUGCAGUGGGUACGGGCAGACUAGAGUGCAGUAGGGGAGACUGGAAUUCCUGGUGUAGCGGUGAAAUGCGCAGAUAUCAGGAGGAACACCGAUGGCGAAGGCAGGUCUCUGGGCUGUUACUGACGCUGAGGAGCGAAAGCAUGGGGAGCGAACAGGAUUAGAUACCCUGGUAGUCCAUGCCGUAAACGUUGGGCACUAGGUGUGGGGGACAUUCCACGUUUUCCGCGCCGUAGCUAACGCAUUAAGUGCCCCGCCUGGGGAGUACGGCCGCAAGGCUAAAACUCAAAGGAAUUGACGGGGGCCCGCACAAGCGGCGGAGCAUGCGGAUUAAUUCGAUGCAACGCGAAGAACCUUACCAAGGCUUGACAUUCACCGGACCGCCCCAGAGAUGGGGUUUCCCUUCGGGGCUGGUGGACAGGUGGUGCAUGGUUGUCGUCAGCUCGUGUCGUGAGAUGUUGGGUUAAGUCCCGCAACGAGCGCAACCCUCGUUCUAUGUUGCCAGCACGUGAUGGUGGGGACUCAUAGGAGACUGCCGGGGUCAACUCGGAGGAAGGUGGGGAUGACGUCAAAUCAUCAUGCCCCUUAUGUCUUGGGCUUCACGCAUGCUACAAUGGCCGGUACAAAGGGUUGCGAUACUGUGAGGUGGAGCUAAUCCCAAAAAGCCGGUCUCAGUUCGGAUUGAGGUCUGCAACUCGACCUCAUGAAGUCGGAGUCGCUAGUAAUCGCAGAUCAGCAACGCUGCGGUGAAUACGUUCCCGGGCCUUGUACACACCGCCCGUCAAGUCACGAAAGUUGGUAACACCCGAAGCCGGUGGCC
This 1357-nucleotide ribosomal RNA is filed under the name Kocuria sp. Its description in RNAcentral is "bacterial SSU rRNA". It matches the Rfam family "Bacterial small subunit ribosomal RNA", at positions 69 to 1435 of the family's 1533-position model. The record is from RNAcentral. Lineage: Bacteria; Bacillati; Actinomycetota; Actinomycetes; Micrococcales; Micrococcaceae.